RNAcentral lists this ribosomal RNA (497 nucleotides) under uncultured bacterium. RNAcentral's name for it is "bacterial SSU rRNA". It matches the Rfam family "Bacterial small subunit ribosomal RNA", at positions 8 to 526 of the family's 1533-position model. The record is from RNAcentral.
AGAGUUUGAUCCUGGCUCAGGAUCAACGCUGGCGGCGUGCCUAAUGCAUGCAAGUCGAACGGGUCGCCUUCGGGCGGUUACGUGGCGGACGGGUGCGGAACGCGUGGGCGACCUGCCCUGGGGCGGGGGAUAGCCGCGGGAAACCGCGGGUAAUCCCGCGUACGCUCCCGAUCCGGUGGAGAUCGGGAGGAAAGGCUUCGGCCACCCUGGGAGGGGCCUGCGGCCGAUUAGCUAGACGGCGGGGUAACGGCCCACCGUGGCGAUGAUCGGUAGCUGGUCUGAGAGGACGACCAGCCACACGGGGACUGAGACACGGCCCCGACUCCUACGGGAGGCAGCAGCAAGGGAUCUUCCGCAAUGGGCGAAAGCCUGACGGAGCAACGCCGCGUGGGGGAGGACGCCCUUCGGGGUGUAAACCCCUUUUCCCGGGGACGAAGUUCUGACGGUACCCGGGGAAUAAGGACCGGCUAACUACGUGCCAGCAGCCGCGGUAAUUC